CAUUUAAUAAUGUAGAAGUAGUUUCCCCUAAGAAAUGUGAGGCCACUGUGGGUGUUUGCCGGCCUUUAAACUAGUACAAACUUUGAAUUAUUUGGAUUCAACACAAGCAAUUUUAAGUAAUGAAUUCAAGGUUUUAACAAUCUUCUCACAGAACAAACUUAAUGAAAUUGGGAGCCUUUUGAAAGCCACACUGACUGAGAAGAUAAAGAAGUUUGAUGGAUACCUGUGGAGAUUCAGGAGAUCAGUGCAGCAUGUUGGUUUCCUGUCUGAAGCAGCUGGGUGGCCUUCAAUAGCCUUGCAAAGGGCAGCAGGAUUCCUGCAAAGUGGGGUUACAGCUGUCACCCAGGUGUGGAAGCAAAGUGGAAUUGAGCACAUUCUGAGAAGCAGGAUCCCACUUUACUUGGAGAAAAUUCAAGAUGUUGUCCAGCAAAUGCAGAAUGAAUUACAAAGUAAGCAAAAUGGUGCAAAACAAGAAGAGGGACAAUGUCAGUGCAGGGCAAACCAAACUUCACUGUAAACUAUAAAACAUACUGAACAACACAAAAGUUUCUA
This 552-nucleotide long non-coding RNA is filed under the name Lonchura striata (white-rumped munia). RNAcentral describes it as "domestica (Bengalese finch) lncRNA (ENSLSDG00000001177.1)". Lineage: Eukaryota; Metazoa; Chordata; Aves; Passeriformes; Estrildidae. The record is from RNAcentral.